RNAcentral lists this transfer RNA (74 nucleotides) under Trebouxia sp. A1-2. RNAcentral describes it as "tRNA-Phe". It matches the Rfam family "tRNA". From Rfam's summary of the family: Transfer RNA (tRNA) molecules are approximately 80 nucleotides in length. Their secondary structure includes four short double-helical elements and three loops (D, anti-codon, and T loops). RNAcentral also lists the same sequence under 3 other names. The record is from RNAcentral. Lineage: Eukaryota; Viridiplantae; Chlorophyta; Trebouxiophyceae; Trebouxiales; Trebouxiaceae.
GUCUAGGUAGCUCAGUUGGUUAGAGCAGAGGACUGAAAAUCCUCGUGUCGGCAGUUCAAAUCUGCCUCUAGACA